CCCGGGAUUCGGUAAUGAGCCAUCCGCGGACUUUCAUUUGUAAACCUCCUAAAUCUCCUUCUGCAGUAAUCACAGACUGCGCGCGCAGGAAGAGAAAACGUUUUUAAAACUAAGUUCCCCCUUAUGACUCCGAGCUAGUUCCAUCCAAUUUAACAGGAGGGCGCGAACAACUGUUUCCAGGAUGCUAAUUUGCGCAGGAUUUUCAGUGUCGUUCUAAUUGUAAACACCGGCUAACUGAUUCAAUUAAUUGCCUUGGUAAGCAAUUGCUAAGCCCGAACAGACCAAAUAAACGGCAGUGUGUUUAACGGAUAGAUAAAUUCCAUGGAUGUCCUUCUGCAGUAAAAAACGAGAUUUAGGACAAGGAGGAAUGGGUAUAACGCACAGGAUAGUUCACACGAGGCCAACCCAGGCUUAAGGAAAGCCUUAUUGAACACAAACGCUGAAGACCGGAGAGGUGUUCUUCCAAGCAGGGCCAGAUGUUUAUCUCAACCGAUAGAGAGGCUGUCGGGAAAAAAAAAAGCAAACGAUGACUGAGAGACAGGAACACACAAGGGACGGACACCAAAGCACGCGACUGAACGUACCCCCACAUCCUCAAAGAUGAAUGGCGGCCAUUGUUCGCACAACUUCAAGGCUGAAGGCUCUGAAUGUUCAGCUGAAAGUGGUCUACUUCAAGUGGCUAAACGUUUCACAGUGGACAUCACUGCAGAGAAACGUCGACAAAUUAAAAGAAAACAAAAGAGAAUUUCUCAAUUAAAAUGGAGGCUGAAGAAUAAAAUGCCAGCAGCAAUUGAAUUAACGAGUCAUUACAGGAAGUGGGUUUUUGAUCAAGAUUGAAGUGUGGAUGUGGAAGGACUUUUCGUCAUACAGUACGUCCUGGCAGGAUAUCCUACAGCUUGUCAGCCUUUUGCAGAAUCAGCCGAGUCGCUCUCUGAGUUUAAAACAGGUUUUGUGCACGCAGAGGAAAAACUCUGCCGAAACAGCCCCAGAGGGACCCUCACAGGAGGUGAAAAAUUUGGUUAAAUACUCAGGGGCCAAGCCGUGUAAUGCCUCGAAUGAAAACAGAAAUAUUUUAAAUGACAACAUGGCAAAGACAAGAACUUCUUGAAGUCUGCGGUACGCAAAGGACCUGCCGCCCGGAAGCCUGCCUUGCUGUUGGGGCUCGACUGAAGAGCAUUGCAGGUGUACAUGUUUCGAUUGCAUCAGGCUUCCUUCAAGAUCUCGGCUUCGCAAAAAAACACAACUGUUUGCCAUCAGAUGAAAUAAAAAAAAAAGUGCUUUGAGGUAUUGUAUUUGACAGGAAAAAAGAUGUCUUGCGACAGGUUUUCACUACGUGUCAGACAAUGACUUUAAAGAAACAAACAAAAAAAAAUCAAUAACGCACUGCUUCUUUUGGUUCUGUGCUUGGUUUUCCACUUGGUAUAUGCCAGUAGUUAUGCUUCUCCAGAACAAAGGAGGGGGGGGGUUAAAAGCCUGUCAUUUUUAAUUUCUCAUUUGUUCCAAGUUAGUUAGUUUAAACAGACAAAAAAAAAUGCCAGCAUCCGCAAGGACAUGUGAUAUUAUUACCAGACAAUGACAAAAUAUUGAAGAAAAAAAAAGACAUGCUCCUUCGUAUCACCUUGUUCAACAGGGUGUACUGAAUGUAUGCUUAUACUCCUUCAAGGAUAAAAGCCUCUCUUCAAAGCAUAGGAGGAUAACGAAGUAAAAACACCUAUCCAGAGCUUUUCCCUGUAGGCAAUCUAUCCUUUUCAUUUUCAAAUUUGUAUUUGCCACUGGUUUUGCAUACCUUUCAUGUUUUCUAAGUCUUGGGAGUACCAGUGAGACAUUUAUGAUAUGAUUUUGUUUAAAUGUAAAUAUUUGCUCAUAUUGUUUUUAUUUUCCUUGUUAUUAUUCUGUGCAGGGGAUGGUGUCUGCGUUGUAUGACCAAUCAGGAUACAGACACGUUACCUUUAUACUUACAUGGCUAGUGAUCUACUUUAGUACAGGUUCCUGAACAUGUGCAAUCAUCUCAAAUGCACUCCAAUCUCACUUCAGUAUUCAAUCUUCAAGAAAAGCCUGCCAGUGGUGAUUGAUGCUGCAGCAACGUGUACCGAUGGCCACAUGAUACUUUUGACCAAUGGGAGUAACUCCAUAAAAUUAUCUGAUGAUUUACUGCUAACGUGCUAUGUUCCUAUGCGUUUAAAAUUUCUGCAGUGUUUAUUUAAUACUUACGUUAUCUAACACUGAAAAAAUUGUGAUACUGUAAUGCCAAAAAAAUUCAGAAGGAAGUAUGCCAUGUAUUCACAAAGUGUAGUAUACACAAUUAAACUAAGUGGUACACGUAUCGAAUGUCAUAAGCGUAUUUUGUUGUUAAACAAUAUCGCAUGUACAAAAGAACUGUUGCGUUGCCAUGGUUAAUUUAAUUUGUGCUCACACAUUAUUGUUUUCAUCCAAUAUGCAUGCUGUGUGCGCAAAUAAACAUAAUCUUAAUUUA
Anguilla rostrata (American eel) is the source of this 2473-nucleotide long non-coding RNA. RefSeq lists it as uncharacterized. The record is from RefSeq and is a predicted model, not a curated record. The transcript has 4 exons. Lineage: Eukaryota; Metazoa; Chordata; Actinopteri; Anguilliformes; Anguillidae.